CCCACUGGAGUUAGAAAUAUUAAUGAAUACGUAUGGAGAAUACGAGUAUAUAUAUUUAAGAAAAAAAAGCAAUACAGGAGCAGCAGAAAAAGAACGUGAGCUGGCGUCGCAGAAAAUUGCUGACCAAGUCAACGCGUGCAACCCAACAGGCACAAAAUGUACUUGGCACCAACUGAAGAUGAAAUAUAACAAUAUAGUUCAAACAGAACAAUGCUGACAAUGAGGAAGAUGGUUUACCUCCACAGCACAAUUUACCUCACUCCCUGUGAAACAGCUGUACAAGGUGUACCUAAAAGCAAAUUUAAUAAUCUAAUUUAGAAAUGGACCGCAUAAGACUGCAAAUGCAAAAGACAAAAAUAGAAAUACAGCUGCUGGAACAUCAGUUAAAGAUGGGUGAGGUGCCCAUAGGUGGAUGUUUUAACAACAUAACACAAUAAUAACAUGUACUGCAUUUGC
Long non-coding RNA from Lampris incognitus (smalleye Pacific opah), 456 nucleotides. RefSeq lists it as uncharacterized. The record is from RefSeq and is a predicted model, not a curated record. Lineage: Eukaryota; Metazoa; Chordata; Actinopteri; Lampriformes; Lampridae. The transcript is spliced from 4 exons.